CCGGACCGGCGCACGGGUGAGUAACACGUAUGCGACCUGCCCCCCGCAGGGGGAUAACCGGGAGAAAUCCCGACUAAUACCGCGUAACGCCGCGGACCUGCAUGGGUCUGCGGCCAAAGGAAGCGAUUCCGGCGGGGAUGGGCAUGCGGCGCAUUAGCUAGUCGGCGGGGUAACGGCCCACCGAGGCGACGAUGCGUAGGGGUUCUGAGAGGAAGGUCCCCCACACUGGUACUGAGACACGGACCAGACUCCUACGGAAGGCAGCAG
This 267-nucleotide ribosomal RNA is filed under the name uncultured bacterium. RNAcentral's name for it is "partial 16S ribosomal RNA". It matches the Rfam family "Bacterial small subunit ribosomal RNA", at positions 90 to 354 of the family's 1533-position model. The record is from RNAcentral.